Molecule: long non-coding RNA, 513 nt
Organism: Helianthus annuus (common sunflower)
Lineage: Eukaryota; Viridiplantae; Streptophyta; Magnoliopsida; Asterales; Asteraceae
Exons: 3
Source: RefSeq, a predicted model, not a curated record
AUUUGGGGUUCUGGGUUCGACGAUCAGAGCAGGGGAAGAACAAGCAAACCCUAGCUUGCUAAAUCCCAUCAAUUCACUUGAAAUCUCAAGGAGAACCUAAUGCAUGAGCCCAUAUUUUCGAGUAUCUAACCCUAAUUAGUGAAGUGGCACGAAGAAGGAAGAAGGCGCAAGUCACUUGAAGCCAUAAGUAUCUCAAGAUCGCGGUAAAACUCCACUUUAGGCGAUUUGGAGAUAUGGAGCGAGCACGUGUCCAUGAUUUAUUUUACCAAGCGCUUCCGCUAGUUUAUGUUCGUCUUUAUGGUCUAUGACUUAAUAUUUUGUCCAACUUUGUUAAUAGUCGUAUAUUUUGUAAAACUUGUUGCCUUUGUUUUGGGUAGUCUAAUGUCAUAAAGGGGCAUAGAUUUUUGUUAGUUUGUUAUGUUAAAAACAGGGGGCACGUUCGUUUUACGAACGGGUCAUGCCAAAUUUUUGUAAAAAUUUUAUUAUGUAUCAAAGUUGGUAAUUUGAUGUCUA